CUGGGGCACCCGACAGACAGUCUCUGCUCUGAGGAAGCUUACAGUCCUUUAGAUGCGAGGCAGACAUUAAACAAGUAAAUGCAUUGUUGCACGCUGCCAUAAAUGUGGAGGCAAAGAACAAUGUUCUAGGAGAGAGAGAAUAACAGGGAAGAGCUUUUCUGAAGGGCACUGGGGCCUGAGAAGUGUAUUUAAACAGGGACCAUGCACCAUCUGAUUCACGUGUGAAAGCUCUCCAUAACCACUGUAGUGGAAUGGUUCCUCUGAGUUGGGGUGUCGAGUUGUGUGCCAGGCCCAGGAACAGCAGGCUACCUGGAAUUCCAGAGUCAAAGAGAGUCUGGCAGUGUUCCUGUCACCUAAUGCCUACCUGCUACCCUGCCUGGCACUGCCCUGGGAGCACCCAUUACUUUCCUUUCCCCACCCCCAUGCUUCCAGGGUAGAUUGACAGCAGCACGUUCCAGUCACCCUCAGAGCCUACAAGGUCUCUGCCCUCCCAGAUAUGAACUUCUAUUUAAAAUCAUUGAUUUAAUCAUCCUUUCUAUCUUAAGGGGUGGUGUGGGGAAGGAAAGUAAUUUCAUUAGCGGUGAUUUGAAGGGAAUCUUAACCACCAUGUGACCUGUGAUUGUCCCUUGUGAACAACCAGAGGACCUGUGAUAACACUGAAUGUGACAUUUCUUUGAACUGCCUCCUUGCAUCCUGAAACCUCAAUAAAAGGUGCUUUAGGGGAUGUGGAUCCCCUAAUUUACUAAGUAAAUGUAAGGGUGGACCUGUGCUGGCCAGGUGCUCAGGGGGCGUGAUUAAUUUAGCAUUCUAGCAGUAAGCUCUGUUCACUGGCUUUUCCUUCAUUUCAGGGAAAUACCGAGCAGCAGAUGAAGAAAAAAUUAGUCCACCUCCCUACCUAACUUGUGAGAGUUUCCCUCAUGCCGUGGACCACAUUCUGCAGCAUCUCCUGUGAACCCUCCUGUGAAUGUGAAGCAACUUGACACACAGCUUUCAUUGUCUGGAAUGGAUCCCUUACCAACUUGGUGCAGCAUCAGUAGCCACGAACCAUUCAGAGCUGAUUAUGCUUUAACCCUCUUUUAUUGUGCAUUAAUUAGAAAGAAAGGUAUUGAAUUGCAUCCAGCUACUAAGCCUUGCUAAUCUCUUUUGUUUUAUUUUGUAAAAGAAGAUGAGACCCUAAGAAAAGAAAAGCUGAGAUUUUAUGCCAUUCCCUCUAAAAUAUUCAUCAGGUUCGCAGGGCUGGGAGAGAGAAGCUCCAAUGGGGAAUGGUGUUCUCUGCUGUCUCCUGCUGGAAAUCGGGAGGGAGAUUCAGACUGUGAAUAAAGUUGAAUGGUGGUUUGUAAAUUAUAAAGUGAUGCGUUGAAAGGUGCAUUAGCCUCAUGUUUUGAAAUUGAGUUCAACUGUGAGACCUAGCCGAAGAGCCAAGUGGAGUAUAAGACAGAGGCAGCAAAGUGAAUUGUCCUUCAGACUGUCGAGUGAAUUUACUUUAACAGAUGUUGAAAACUAGAUUUUCUGUUGAAUUCCCAGCACGGGUGACUUCCUUUCUCUUCAUUAGCCAGAGAUGACUAAUUUAAAUUUAGAACCUGAUUUUAAUUUAAAAUAAUAUUUCCAUUAAUAACCUAUUCAUUGCAGAUACCUAUUAUACUGUGUAACAGUUGUUUUGGAAAUUUUAUGUAAAAUUAAAACUAUCAGUAUUUUACAGAUGUUUUAAUUAGACAUUGUUAUUAACAGGAACAGUGCAGAAACUAAAAUCAAGCCUUUAAUGUCUUAUAGACCAUGCAUUUUUUAAGUUAGUGUCCACCAGGGUCCUAUUAACUGUACAUUUGCAAGAUUUCAUUAUUUUUGCCUCUGACACUAUGGGAAAAAUCUUUUAGAAGCUAUUGGGACAGAUUCAAGCUUUUAUGUACUUGGUUACUACAGCUGUAAAAUGAAAUCUCGUCUUGUAGCAUGGAUUAUUCUUUUCAUGUUAAACCCACCCAAAUGAAGGGGACUAAGUAGGUAAUGAUUUUCCUAGUGCAUUUGCAUACUGUGAUAAUCCUGGGCCUUUGCAAUUGUUUUACAGGGCUCUUGGGCAUUGAAUUAUUAGAAUGUAAUUGUACAUCAUUGUAGUGUUCACCUUAUUGAAGUGCACACUGAUGUUAAUGAGCUUCGGGUUUUGAUGCUUGUUUAGAGAUCAGCUCGGUCUUGGAUGGGAGGGAGCAAAGCUAAAUAAAUGAUAGUUGGGCGAGCACUUUUCUUGUUUUUGCAAAAGCCCCAACUUAAUACUUAUGUCUAGAAGCAAAAGACAGACAUGGAAUGAC
This 2297-nucleotide long non-coding RNA is filed under the name Marmota monax (woodchuck). Lineage: Eukaryota; Metazoa; Chordata; Mammalia; Rodentia; Sciuridae. The record is from RNAcentral.